Molecule: long non-coding RNA, 1982 nt
Organism: Brassica napus (rape)
Lineage: Eukaryota; Viridiplantae; Streptophyta; Magnoliopsida; Brassicales; Brassicaceae
Exons: 3
Source: RefSeq, a predicted model, not a curated record
UCCUUUAUAUAAGUAUUACAAGAUAAAGAUAAAUGGAAAGUAUCCAAAACCUAAACACACUAGGAUUAGGAAAACUACUAAUACAUAAUAAUGGAAAGAUUACAUCUACUAGGAAAAUGAAAGGGUUUCUUUUUCUCCAAACUUUGUGGCCGCCAUUCUCUCUCUCUCCUGAAGUCGGCUUUCUCUCCCCUCUCUCUAGGGCUUCGGCCAUCUCUCCAUCUUCUAGGUAUUGGGCCGAUCUCAGUUCGGGUCUGGUUAAUGGCAAUCCACUCCAUGAUUUAUAACAAUAUAUAUAAUAUUGAUAAAAACACCAAUAUUCUGCGGAACUUCUUUUUGGGAGUGUGUAUUCCUUUUUCUGAAAUUUAUACUUUUGAAAUUAUUUAUAUAAUUUUUAGCUUCUUGAAGUAUGUAGUCCAGAUUUGAUUUGAUCCCGUAUCGUUGUUUGACUUUCAUUAUUUUACUCAGGUCUUUUGAUUCACACAAAUGAAGGAGACUAAAUUUAAAUACACCUAAUCUAUUAAAAUAUAGUCCUAUUUGAAAUUACCUUGGCAUGUUUUAAGUUUGGGACUAUUGAACAAAAUGCAACAUGUAUUAUAUAUAUUUAUUUGAUGACCGAUAUAUUUACAUUAAACAAACUUUAAUCAUUGGAUUAAUAUUAAAAUCUAUCCAACAUCUAGGUCAUAUCUAGCGUCGUCAUCUUCUCCUCUUCCUAUGUUCCACCAUCAUUACCUCCGACCACUAUACACAGAUACAUUCGCAUGAAACUAAGAACAAAGUGAAUUAGGAUUGGUGGACUGAUUCGAUCAUGAGUUUUUGCUUCUUUCAAUCAUUUAGAGGAAGGAAUCUUCAGAUAUCAGGUCCUGUUGAUCCAUACAAAAGGCCAUAUAAGUGUAUUAGAUUUGUUCCAUUCGAUUUCAUGUUCUACCUUUCAAUCCUCAAAUUUCUUUCUAGAGUUUCACUGAGUAGGCUGAAUCAUGAACAACAAAAAAAUCUCUGCAAUUUUUUUCUGGGUAUACAAAACUUUUAAAUAUGGUACACAUAUCUCUACAAAGUUGUUGUCUUCAAAAACAAAAAGAAAACUCACAAUUGAGGCCAUUGCUCAAUCAUUGCUAAAGGAUCAAGACUUACCUAGAAAAAUAAGAAAUAACAAUCGGGUUCUUAGAAAACUAUAUGCAUUUUGAUGGCAAGAAACAAAGAUGAGAGCUCAGGUUAGUAUCUGUGAUUUCUACCCUUGAUUGUUGAUCAUCCCAUGAACUCUUUCAUGAAUUUUCUCUUGAAUCAAAGUAUCAGCUGCUAUGUUUUGUUUAAUGCAGAGCUCAGGUCAGUCACUAUCUGAGUGGAGCGGAGACAAAAGUGAAUUCUCGAAUCAAGUCCAAAAGGUAUUUAGAAGAUGUGAAAGCUCCUAAGCAAGCUUUCCCUUCACACGUUUCUGUCAUGGUUUUAGAGGUGCUGAUCAGGCAUUCAAAAGAUCAAGGUCAUUUGCCUGUUAAAUCUACUCAGUUCAGACUUGAUCUUCUCAAGAAUGUUGAGAGCAAUGCUGAGGUCAAAGUUUUGGAUGUUGAUGCCCUUUCCAUAUCACACACCCAAGUGAACUAAACAGCGAAACAGAGGUGGAGGACCUAUCGUGUCCUGUAAGAAUCCAUAGUAUGUUCUUUAUGAUGCUACUCUUUUUUCAACUUUUGUUUCAGUCACAAUGUGCUGACUCUCUCUUUUUUUUUGCUGCUUACAUAUCAAACACAUGCCACAUUGAGUUGAUUUUGUCAAAGAAGGAAGAGCCUGUGAAGAAAUAGCGAAGCCAAAGAAAGGAGCUUCUUCUUGAGCUUUCGUGAUCGUUUGUGUUACAACGUUUGAUACACUUUGUUUACCUUUUUUUCACUUUGUUUACUUCUCUUUCAUUUAGACAAGUAACCGUGAUUGUAAAGAUAUAAUGAUGAUUGGUUUCUGGAUUACUCAAGCUUUAAACUCUUUACGCUUUUGAGGUA